CCUACGCGAGACAGCAGUGGGGAAUAUUGGGCAAUGGGCGCAAGCCUGACCCAGCAACGCCGCGUGAAGGAAGAAGGCUUUCGGGUUGUACACUUCUUUUCUCAGGGACGAAGCAAGUGACGGUACCUGAGGAAUAAGCCACGGCUAACUACGUGCCAGCAGCCGCGGUAAUACGUAGGUGGCAAGCGUUAUCCGGAUUUACUGGGGGUAAAGGGCGUGUAGGCGGGACUGCAAGUCAGAUGUGAAAACCACGGGCUCAACCUGUGGCCUGCAUUUGAAACUGUAGUUCGUGAGUACUGGAGAGGCAGACGGAAUUCCUAGUGUAGCGGGGAAAUGCGUAGAUAUUAGGAGGAACACCAGUGGCGAAGGCGGUCUGCUGGA
This 381-nucleotide ribosomal RNA is filed under the name uncultured bacterium. RNAcentral's name for it is "partial 16S ribosomal RNA". It matches the Rfam family "Bacterial small subunit ribosomal RNA", at positions 338 to 733 of the family's 1533-position model. The record is from RNAcentral.